GACGAACGCUGGCGGCGUGCUUAACACAUGCAAGUCCAACGGAAAGGCCCCUUCGGGGGUACUCGAGUGGCGAACGGGUGAGUAACACGUGAGUAACCUGCCCUUGACUUCGGGAUAACUUCAGGAAACUGGGGCUAAUACCGGAUAGGAAUCCUUGCUGCAUGGUGGGGGUUGGAAAGCUUCGGCGGUUUUGGAUGGACUCGCGGCUUAUCAGCUUGUUGGUGGGGUAGUGGCUUACCAAGGCUUUGACGGGUAGCCGGCCUGAGAGGGCGACCGGCCACAUUGGGACUGAGAUACGGCCCAGACUCCUACGGGAGGCAGCAGUGGGGAAUAUUGCACAAUGGGCGGAAGCCUGAUGCAGCAACGCCGCGUGCGGGAUGACGGCCUUCGGGUUGUAAACCGCUUUCAGCAGGGGCGAAGCUUGUGGUGACGGUACCUGCAGAAGAAGCACCGGCUAACUACGUG
This 465-nucleotide ribosomal RNA is filed under the name uncultured bacterium. RNAcentral describes it as "partial 16S ribosomal RNA". It matches the Rfam family "Bacterial small subunit ribosomal RNA", at positions 28 to 507 of the family's 1533-position model. The record is from RNAcentral.